UCAAAACGACUCUCGGCAACGGAUAUCUCGGCUCUCGCAUCGAUGAAGAACGUAGCGAAAUGCGAUACUUGGUGUGAAUUGCAGAAUCCCGUGAACCAUCGAGUCUUUGAACGCAAGUUGCGCCCGAAGCCUUCUGGCCGAGGGCACGCCUGCCUGGGCGUCA
RNAcentral lists this ribosomal RNA (163 nucleotides) under Veronica scutellata. RNAcentral describes it as "5.8S ribosomal RNA". It matches the Rfam family "5.8S ribosomal RNA". From Rfam's summary of the family: 5.8S ribosomal RNA (5.8S rRNA) is a component of the large subunit of the eukaryotic ribosome. The record is from RNAcentral. Lineage: Eukaryota; Viridiplantae; Streptophyta; Magnoliopsida; Lamiales; Plantaginaceae.